This 429-nucleotide ribosomal RNA is filed under the name Pseudomonadota bacterium. RNAcentral describes it as "Proteobacteria bacterium partial 16S ribosomal RNA". It matches the Rfam family "Bacterial small subunit ribosomal RNA", at positions 355 to 776 of the family's 1533-position model. The record is from RNAcentral. Lineage: Bacteria; Pseudomonadati; Pseudomonadota.
UGGGGAAUAUUGGACAAUGGGGGGAACCCUGAUCCAGCCAUGCCGCGUGUGUGAAGAAGGCCUUAUGGUUGUAAAGCACUUUAAGCGAGGAGGAGGGUACUGGUAUUAAUACUACCAGGUACUGGACGUUACUCGCAGAAUAAGCACCGGCUAACUCUGUGCCAGCAGCCGCGGUAAUACAGAGGGUGCGAGCGUUAAUCGGAUUACUGGGCGUAAAGCGUGCGUAGGUGGUUCGUUAAGUUGAAUGUGAAAGCCCCGGGCUCAACCUGGGAACUGCAUCCAAAACUGGCGAGCUAGAGUAGGGCAGAGGGUGGUGGAAUUUCCUGUGUAGCGGUGAAAUGCGUAGAUAUAGGAAGGAACACCAGUGGCGAAGGCGACCACCUGGGCUCAUACUGACACUGAGGUGCGAAAGCGUGGGGAGCAAACAGG